Molecule: ribosomal RNA, 451 nt
Filed under: uncultured bacterium
Lineage: Bacteria
Description: partial 16S ribosomal RNA
Rfam family: Bacterial small subunit ribosomal RNA
Source: RNAcentral
GUGGGGAAUAUUGGACAAUGGGGGGAACCCUGAUCCAGCCAUGCCGCGUGUGUGAAGAAGGCCUUUUGGUUGUAAAGCACUUUAAGUGAGGAGGAGGCUACCGAGAUUAAUACUCUUGGAUAGUGGACGUUACUCGCAGAAUAAGCACCGGCUAACUCUGUGCCAGCAGCCGCGGUAAUACAGAGGGUGCAAGCGUUAAUCGGAUUUACUGGGCGUAAAGCGCGCGUAGGUGGCCAAUUAAGUCAAAUGUGAAAUCCCCGAGCUUAACUUGGGAAUUGCAUUCGAUACUGGUUGGCUAGAGUAUGGGAGAGGAUGGUAGAAUUCCAGGUGUAGCGGUGAAAUGCGUAGAGAUCUGGAGGAAUACCGAUGGCGAAGGCAGCCAUCUGGCCUAAUACUGACACUGAGGUGCGAAAGCAUGGGGAGCAAACAGGAUUAGAUACCCUUGUAGUCC